GACGGGUAGCUGGUCUGAGAGGACGAUCAGCCACACUGGCACUGCGACACGGGCCAGACUCCUACGGGAGGCAGCAGUAAGGAAUAUUGCGCAAUGGGCGAAAGCCUGACGCAGCGACGCCGCGUGGGGGAUGAAGGUCUUCGGAUUGUAAACCCCUUUCGGGAGGGAAGAUGGAAUGGGGUAACCCAUUCGGACGGUACCUCCAGAAGCAGCCACGGCUAACUUCGUGCCAGCAGCCGCGGUAAUACGAAGGUGGCAAGCGUUAUUCGGAUUUACUGGGCGUACAGGGAGCGUAGGCGGUUCGGUAAGCCCUUUGUGAAAUCUCCAGGCUUAACCUGGAACAGUCGGAGGGGACUGCCGGGCUAGAGGACGGGAGAGGAGCGCGGAAUUCCCGGUGUAGCGGUGAAAUGCGUAGAGAUCGGGAGGAAGGCCGGUGGCGAAGGCGGCGCUCUGGAACGUUUCUGACGCUGAGGCUCGAAAGCGUGGGGAGCAAACAGGAUUAGAUGCCCUGGUAGUCCACGCCUUAAACUAUGAAUACUAAGUGUCGGCGGGUUACCGCCGGUGCCGCAGCUAACGCAUUAAGUAUUCCGCCUGGGAAGUACGGCCGCAAGGUUGAAACUCAAAUGAAUUGACGG
RNAcentral lists this ribosomal RNA (635 nucleotides) under uncultured Nitrospira sp. RNAcentral describes it as "bacterial SSU rRNA". It matches the Rfam family "Bacterial small subunit ribosomal RNA", at positions 278 to 916 of the family's 1533-position model. The record is from RNAcentral. Lineage: Bacteria; Pseudomonadati; Nitrospirota; Nitrospiria; Nitrospirales; Nitrospiraceae.